Molecule: ribosomal RNA, 117 nt
Filed under: Candidatus Zixiibacteriota bacterium
Lineage: Bacteria; Pseudomonadati; Candidatus Zixiibacteriota
Source: RNAcentral
CCUGGUGGCCAUGGCGGCGGGGUAACGCCCGUUCCCAUUCCGAAUACGGCAGCUAAGCCCGCCCGCGCCGAUGGUACUUGGGGGGCGACCCCCUGGGAGAGUAGGACGCCGCCAGGA